Molecule: transfer RNA, 73 nt
Filed under: Sus scrofa (pig)
Lineage: Eukaryota; Metazoa; Chordata; Mammalia; Artiodactyla; Suidae
Description: tRNA-Thr
Rfam family: tRNA
About the family: Transfer RNA (tRNA) molecules are approximately 80 nucleotides in length. Their secondary structure includes four short double-helical elements and three loops (D, anti-codon, and T loops). Further hydrogen bonds mediate the characteristic L-shaped molecular structure. tRNAs have two regions of fundamental functional importance: the anti-codon, which is responsible for specific mRNA codon recognition, and the 3' end, to which the tRNAs corresponding amino acid is attached (by aminoacyl-tRNA synthetases). tRNAs cope with the degeneracy of the genetic code in two manners: having more than one tRNA (with a specific anti-codon) for a particular amino acid; and 'wobble' base-pairing, i.e. permitting non-standard base-pairing at the 3rd anti-codon position.
Source: RNAcentral
GGCUCCGUAGCUCAGGGGUUAGAGCACUGGUCUCGUAAACCAGGGGUCGUGAGUUUGAAUCUCACUGGGGCCU